This is a long non-coding RNA of Malaclemys terrapin pileata, 361 nucleotides long. RefSeq lists it as uncharacterized. The transcript has 3 exons. Lineage: Eukaryota; Metazoa; Chordata; Testudines; Emydidae. The record is from RefSeq and is a predicted model, not a curated record.
UAUCACAAUAUAACAACGCAAUAUGCAACAAGAGUUUCCCUGCUGUUCUACAGCAGCACCAGCUGAUCAUCAAAUGCUUUCCCCAAGAGGAGGCCAGGAACACUUCCCUUUCAUCCGUCCUGGAGUUGUUUAUAAGAUGGCGAAUUCCAUUCUGCGCUGGAGCCACUGGAGUCUUUAGGAGAGCCAGCCUGAGAACUCAGGACAAAGCUGAAAUAUUGAAAAUGCCCAGAUUCAGUAGAAGCAAGCCCUUUCCCCAUUGCUGCCCUGUCAUCAAAAACAACAAGGAGUCUGGUGGCACCUUAAAGACUAACAGAUUUAUAUGGGCAUAAGCUUUCGUGAGUAAAAACCUCACUUCUUCGGA